RNAcentral lists this ribosomal RNA (323 nucleotides) under uncultured eukaryote. RNAcentral's name for it is "partial 18S ribosomal RNA". It matches the Rfam family "Eukaryotic small subunit ribosomal RNA", at positions 1470 to 1796 of the family's 1831-position model. The record is from RNAcentral.
CCCUUAGAUGUUCUGGGCUGCACGCGUGCUACACUGAUAUUGCCAAUAUGUCAUUCUUAUCCGAAAUGGAUUGGGUAAUCAAGUAAUGAAAUUUCAUGCUUGGAAUCGGUAAUUGCAAUUUUAUCGUGAACGAGGAAUUCCUAGUAAGCACUAGUCAUCAGCUAAUGUUGAUUAUGUCCCUACCCUUUGUACACACCACCCGUCGCUACUACUGAUUGGGUGUUCAAGUGAGAUGCUUAGACCCUUGUUGCAUGGUUCAUUAUUGUGCUCCGAAAGGAAAAAGUUUCAAGCUUGAGUGUCUAGAGGAAGUAAAAGUCGUAACA